AGAUUUCUGAAAAUCUAAAUGAGAUUUGGUUUUAAUCGUUGCUGCUCCAGCGUUUUCCCAGUCACAUUAAGUCAGUGAGGGUAUAGUCGACAAUGCGACGGUCCAAUCCUGCUUUUUAAUUUGCAAAAUACAUACAAAUAAAUACAUAAAGAGAGAGAGAGAGAUCUGCAUAUACAAUCGCUAAAAAUCAACAAAAUAAACCUAUUAGACUUUGUUGAUCCCGCACAUGGAGGAUAAUCUUUGCUGCACAGCGAAAUCAAGCCUGACUGAUUAUUGGGAUUAUAUCCUGAAACAUCAAUCACUAAUAAUAAUAAACAGUGGGGCUUAAAAAAAUCUUGAUGGUAAAUGACAUUAUAGCAAGUUUUUUUCUUUCUUUCUUGAAUAAUACAUUUUAUAACACUCCUUACUCACUUUUUAUUCUCACUCCAGCACAAAAUGUGUGCAGUGCAGAUCAGCUCUUUGCUCUGUUUCAAAGUUUGCCCAAAUGUGGUUAUUUUCGGUGACCUCUUUAGUGGGACAAAGGAGGCUGUGGAUCGAUUCGUUACACCUUUUUAGUGAGGCUUCUGGUGAAGGGGAGGGGCUCUGAAUCCACAAGAGGCUCCAUUAAUAGCCUACACUCCAUCCUAAGUAUUAUCCACCAUAAAGUGUUUAUAAAGGGCACACAACUAGGCUAAUGUUAUCUUAAAUGAGAGAGCAUGAUAUAUCCGUUUACGGCACACUGCUACAGAGGAUAGUGAAGGAAGAGGAGAGGGAGAAAAAAAUAAGUCUAAAGUUUGUUUUUUUUUAUUACCGAGUGAAAGAGGGUGCGGUGAUAAUCACAACAUAACUUGGAUGGCAUGAGAACUGGCUCAGUUCAGACUGGACCUUCUUCCAGCCAUAGGACUUUAGGACACUAUUCACCCAGCCUCACCGGCUCCUCCAGCUCGGGCUUUAACGGACCGGAUCAUUUACAAGAAACUGGAUUACAAACUUUCUGCAAACCGCCCAGCCAGUUCCUGGUUUAACUGAUUCUGGUCUGACAUUACCAUCUAAACAGGAGCUGUUUAAAAGAUCUACUGGAUCGUACUGCAGGUUGUCAAAUCAGACAUAAUGGGAAAAUAUGACUGAGGUCACGCUAAGAAUAGCCAAUUCCCUGACCUCGGCUUCUCCAGCGACGUCUGCGGCAUUAUCGGGUGAAAUAUCCACUAUUUCAUGCUAACAACAAGAGACGUCUGUACAGAGGCAGCAGCACACAGGACGACUGGCUCAGGGCAAGACAUCCGGAUCACAGCGGCUUUUGUCACCUACAAGCCACUUGCAAUCAUCCUGGAGAAGAGUGCAUGUCUUUGUUUUUGUGAUAAAAGUGCAAUGUAUAUGAGUUAAUAAAUCCGUAUGUGUGCUGUUUUUGUUUGAACUGUAUAUAUAAAGCUUUGACUUUCUGUGUUGUUUCAUUCUAACACGAUCGUUCGAAGAGUAUUAACCUAUAACUUUGUUGAAGAUGUUUGUUAAAUACUGUAACAAUGAAUUAAUUAAACAAUGAGACAAGA
Dicentrarchus labrax (European seabass) is the source of this 1526-nucleotide long non-coding RNA. RefSeq lists it as uncharacterized. The record is from RefSeq and is a predicted model, not a curated record. NCBI's taxonomy places the organism in Eukaryota, Metazoa, Chordata, Actinopteri, Moronidae. The transcript is spliced from 3 exons.